UUUCCAUAGGUGAACCUGCGGAAGGAUCAUUCAUAAUAAGUGUUUUACUGCACUUUUUAAAAAUCAGUAUUCACCUUGUGUGCAAUGUUUGCUGACGAGUUCGCGUUUUUGAGCGUUCUUGGCAGUAUAAUACCAACCCUUUAUUGUAAUUUUUUGUCUGAAAUUUUUUGAAUACAUAAUUCGAAAUACAACUUUUAACAACGGAUCUCUUGGCUCUC
RNAcentral lists this unclassified non-coding RNA (218 nucleotides) under plant metagenome. RNAcentral's name for it is "partial contains small subunit ribosomal RNA, internal transcribed spacer 1, and 5.8S ribosomal RNA". The record is from RNAcentral.